GUCCACGCCGUAAACGAUGUCGACUAGCCGUUGGGAUCCUUGAGAUCUUAGUGGCGCAGCUAACGCAUUAAGUCGACCGCCUGGGGAGUACGGCCGCAAGGUUAAAACUCAAAUGAAUUGACGGGGGCCCGCACAAGCGGUGGAGCAUGUGGUUUAAUUCGAAGCAACGCGAAGAACCUUACCUGGCCUUGACAUGCUGAGAACUUUCCAGAGAUGGAUUGGUGCCUUCGGGAGCUCAGACACAGGUGCUGCAUGGCUGUCGU
RNAcentral lists this ribosomal RNA (263 nucleotides) under uncultured bacterium. RNAcentral describes it as "partial 16S ribosomal RNA". It matches the Rfam family "Bacterial small subunit ribosomal RNA", at positions 793 to 1055 of the family's 1533-position model. The record is from RNAcentral.